Molecule: ribosomal RNA, 811 nt
Filed under: uncultured bacterium
Lineage: Bacteria
Description: bacterial SSU rRNA
Rfam family: Bacterial small subunit ribosomal RNA
Source: RNAcentral
CAGUCGAACGGACUUACAUUGAAGCCUAGCGAUAUGUAAGUUAGUGGCGGACGGGUUAGUAACGCGUGGGUAACCUGCCUUGUACUGGGGGACAACAGUUGGAAACGACUGCUAAUACCGCAUAAGCGCACAGCUUCGCAUGAAGCAGUGUGAAAAACUCCGGUGGUACAAGAUGGACCCGCGUCUGAUUAGCUGGUUGGUGAGGUAACGGCCCACCAAGGCAACGAUCAGUAGCCGGCCUGAGAGGGUGAACGGCCACAUUGGGACUGAGACACGGCCCAAACUCCUACGGGAGGCAGCAGUGGGGAAUAUUACACAAUGGGGGAAACCCUGAUGCAGCAACGCCGCGUGAGUGAAGAAGUAUUUCGGUAUGUAAAGCUCUAUCAGCAGGAAAGAAAAUGACGGUACCUGACUAAGAAGCCCCGGCUAACUACGUGCCAGCAGCCGCGGUAAUACGUAGGGGGCAAGCGUUAUCCGGAUUUACUGGGUGUAAAGGGAGCGCAGACGGUUUUGCAAGUCUGAAGUGAAAGCCCGGGGCUUAACCCCGGGACUGCUUUGGAAACUGUAGGACUAGAGUGCAGGAGAGGUAAGUGGAAUUCCUAGUGUAGCGGUGAAAUGCUUAGAUAUCACGAGGAACUCCGAUUGCGAAGGCAGCCUGCUAAGCUGCAACUGACAUUGAGGCUCGAAAGUGUGGGUAUCAAACAGGAUUAGAUACCCUGGUAGUCCACACGGUAAACGAUGAAUACUCGCUGUUUGCGAUAUACUGCAAGCGGCCAAGCGAAAGCGUUAAGUAUUCCACCUGGGGAGUACG